AGAGUCAUAAUAUAUUUUCUCUUUGUUUUCUAGUGGUAGAAUGAGAAAUUUAGAAAAGAACAUGUUUACAAAAGAAGCAUUAGCUUUGGCUUGGCAAUAUUUUUUACCGCCCUACACCUUCCAGAUCAGAGUUGGUGCUUUGUAUCUGCUAUAUGGAUUAUAUAACACCCAACUGUGUCAACCAAAACAAAAGGUAAUACUUGUUGUUUUCCCUCAGCAGAAAUAGGAAACAGGUACAAUAUUUUUACAACAAACUGAUUUAAACAGGAAUGCCAAUGUUUCAAAAUUAAAAUACAUUAAUGAAAAAGAUAUACCUUUAGUAACUUUUUUACUGUCUUGUUUGUAGAUUAGAGUUGCCCUGAAAGAUUGGGAUGAAGUCUUAAAAUUUCAGCAAGAUUUGAUAAAUGCACAACAUUUUGAUGCAGCUUAUAUCUUUAGGAAACUGCGACUAGACAAAGCAUUUCACUUUACAGCAAUGCCCAAAUUGGUAUGUUAUCUAAAAUAGAUUGUUUUUCAAAAUGAGAAAUUAUACUUCAUUGUUCAUAAAGUACCUCAGUCUCCAUAAAGUAGAAAGAAUAUUAAAUAAUUUCCAAUACAAUUAGAACAGUGUCUUAAAAUAGGAGAAAAUGCUUUCUGAUUACUUUUUUUUGCAAACAAAAAUUUAGUCUCUGCUUUUAAAUACAGUGUGUUUCUAGAUGCCAUCUGUUAAGCAAAUUGUUAGAAUAGGAAAUGAGAUUUGGCAUUUGCCAUUUGUUUAUUCCUUUAUUCAGAUCAGAGAGGUUACUGAAAGAAGACCAAGGAAUUUUAAAGUCAGUUGGUGAAGAACUGAAAUGUCCACUAAUAAAAUAUGUUUCUUCAGUCUUAUGACACUUGAGAUAUUAGAUUAAAAGAGCACCAGGUCCUAAUUCUGGAUCUGACAUCAGCUGGCCAAUCAUGUAACUUCUCUAUCAUUUGAAUUUAUAAUCAUGUGGCAUGACAUCUUAAAGGCUAUUUUAUUUUAUUAUUUUUUUAAAUACUUUAUUUUAUCUAUCUAUCUGUCUAUCAAAGAGGGCACAAGUGAAUGAGGGGCAGAGAGAGAGGGAGCGAGAAAGAAUCCCACACAGGCUCCAUACUGUCAGCCUGGCCAAAUUGGGCUCGAGCUCCCCUGAAGUGGGGCUCAAGCUCACCUGGUUUGGGGCUCAAACUCAUGAACUGUGAGAUCAUGACCUGAGCUGAAGUUGGAUGCUUAACCGACUGAACCACCCAGGUGCCCCUUAAAGGUUAUUUUAAAAGUCUGAUAGUCUUUGGAAAAUGGAUUAUCUAAAAAAAUGUCCUUUAAAAGACAUUCAUUAUCACACAGCUAUCAUAUAGAAUGAAGAAGAAAAUUCAACGAGCUGAAGUUACAGAAGAAUUUAAGGACCCAAAUGAUCGUGUAAUGAAACUUAUCACUUCUGAUGUGUUAGAGGUAAAUUCGUUUUUUAUGCUCUUGAAAUUAAAAAAAAAAUGUUUUAUUGUUAACUAUAUAUAGAAGUUACACCUUCAUCUAGGGAUACUGAAAUUUUUUCUAAUGAUUUUAACCAAUCAUAGAAUGCUUAUUGUUUCUCUAAAGUAUCAGAUGUAAUACACUCUAAAUAUAUGAAAAUUUAUGGAAUAAAUCUUGAAACUCUGUGAGAAGCAAAAAAUAUAGAAGACUGCCCUUGGACUUGGGAUGUUUAGAUUCAAAUACUGAAGCCACCAUUUAUGUUUGAUUUUAAAUAGGUCAUAAAACAAGAAUUUAAAGUGACUUAAUUUUUAUUUUUUAACACUAUGUAUUUAUUUCUUAAGUUGCUUUUUAUAAUGCUUAUUUUAAAAGCCACUGAAAACAAUAAAGCUGUUCUGAUAAAACAAAAAUAUGAAAUCAAGAUUUAUGGAUAAGAGGCAUAGUCUUAAAGCAGCUUUACCAUCUAAUGUACUUUGGUAUUUUAUUUGAGUUGUCAGUAUUGAGAAAAAUCAUCUUUCACAUGAAUAAGUAGUGAGACUCCCAGAAUUUUACAUGCAUGGAAUAGCACUGCCCUGAGGUUGAAACAAAACCCAUUUUUGGUUGUGGACUGAUAUGGUGGUAGAAAGUUAAUUUUUUGUCAACAUACCUUCUUAAACAUGGUUUUUGAUUUUACGUUCUUUUAAGAAUUAAAGGUUCUGAAAGUGUUGAAAUACAGGUUCCUUUGUUUGAAAAUAUUGUCUAUGUCAGCAAACAGGUAUGGAAGAUUUUAUAUUUUAUGUUUUUAAGUUAAUUUUUAUUUUGAGAGAGAGAACGAGCAGGGUAAGGGCAGAGAGAGAGGGAAGGAGAGAAUCCCAAGCCAGUGCCACACUCAGCAUGGAGCCCGAUGUGGGGCUCGAUCUCAUGACCAUGAGAACAUGACCUGAGCUGAAAUCAAGAAUUGGAUGCUUAACCGACUGAGCCACCCAGGUGCCCCUGACAGAUUUUAGAGAACAGAGCUGGGGUGAACAAAGGCAUAUCCUUUUAGGGUGAUCGGGGAGAAGGGUCCAAAGGGCCAAGCUAUGGAAUGCCUAUUCCUAGAAGCUUCUAUGUGAAGUCAUCGUGAUUUUUUGUAGGGUCUUUCACUUACCACAGACCUGCUUUAAGAGCCUUUUCCCUCUGUUGACUCUGUUCACCCUGUCCUUGUGCAGUCUUUCACCUGUUCUCAUAAUAAUCCUUACAUUUAAUACUUGCCUACGUUGCUUCUCCUGCCUGCAAAUGCUAUUAAGCCUACAUGUCAGCAGACCUGAAUUUGGGUCAUGAUUCAGCUACUCAUUAGUUCUAGCUUUGUGGUUAAGGAUGCAUAAUAAAAUGAAGAGACUAGGAUAUUGAAUCAGAACUUCUGAUUUUUGUUGAGUCACGGUGUUGUAUACCUAAAACUAAUAUAACACUGUAUGUUUACUAUACUGGAAUUUAAAAAAAAAAGUAUAUGGGGAAAAAGAAACUUUUGAUUUUGAAUUAUAACUCUAUUACUUAAAUAUGACCUUAAGCCAGUCAUUUCUUUGUUUCUUUACUUCUACAAUUAUAAUACAGUCGUGGCUAUCAUGUGUUGCAUGUUCAGCACGUGCCAGGAACUGUUAGGUGUUUUAUGUCUGUUAUCUCACUAAUGAUCAUAGUAACCCUACAAAGGAGGUGGUAUUUUCCUGAUUUCAAAAACAAGGAAACUGAGGUUCAGAGAAAGUAAGUAAUUUGCAUAAAGUAGGGUACAGUAAGGUACAGACACUGGAUUUGAAUGUCCAAGCCUAUAAGGCUCCAAGGUGCAUGUACUUUCUUUUAUUUCUUAAUCCUUUAACUUUGUAUGUUGCUUUACGUUUUAUAGAACAUUCCCACUUGUAUAAGCUCACUUAAUAUAGUUUACAGUGGGCUAGAUGGCAUCACUUAAUUUUGUACAAAUGUGGAAUGUGAUUCUCAGAUUGAGGGAUUUACUCAAGGUCACAGUCUAGCAAAUGACAGAACUCAGCCUCAAAACCGGGUCCAGCUAGUGGUCUUUCCUCUGUAUUUUAUUGCAUGUAGUAAAAUAAUGGAAUUCAGCACACUGCAAGCUGUACAAAGUUAGGGGCUCCCCAUGUCUGGACAGUGUUCUCCUUUGAAGGUCCUGCAUGAGUGAGCACUCAGCACUGCCCAGCAGCUCGUGAUUGUUUAAACAGAUCCCUGUCAAUGCCAUCAAAACCUACUGGAAAUGAAUUGAGUAGCCUAACUUGGGGAUGACUCGGGUGUUGCAGUGGUCAUCUGUGAUGGGAGUGUCAGUCGUUCUCUGCUGCUCUUUGAGCCAAGUCUCAAUACUGGCUUUAUCUGAUUUCUGAAGUCUACCUAUAAUGUGCUAUCUUUCCCUUACCCCAUAGACCUGCCCAACUGGCUGGAGGUUUCUGGGGAAGAAGGUCUAAGUGAUGCCUCAAAUGUUGUCAUAAUUGCCUUCUAUUUCUUUUAAUCGUGGAUCUUACUAGUGAAGUAAUGAUGGAGCUUACGGGGACAGGCACAGAGGCUUUGAGGUUUGUGAAGAUUAGUGGAUCUCUGUGGAGACCAUUAAUAAAGUUGUACUAUUUGGGUUGUGUGAUUAUAUUGUUUUCAAUAUACUGUAGCUUAUUAUUCUUUAUCAACUUAGUCACUUGGGAGUGUCAUUUUAUUUUGUGUUGGUUUUGCCUUUAAGUUUCUCCUCAAAAAUUGAACUGAAAGAUUCAUCUUUUCACUUUUAGGAAAUGCUGAAUGUUCACGAUCAUUAUCAGAACAUGAAACAUAUAAUUUCAGGUGAUAAAUCCAAUCCAGACAAAGCCCUCAGCUUGAUAAAGGAUGAUUUUUUUGACAAUAUUAAGAACAUAGUUUUAGAGCAUCAGCAGUGGCACAAAGACAGAAAGGUAUG
Molecule: long non-coding RNA, 4352 nt
Filed under: Lynx pardinus (Iberian lynx)
Lineage: Eukaryota; Metazoa; Chordata; Mammalia; Carnivora; Felidae
Source: RNAcentral